AAGGUGGAUAUGUUAAUAGCAUAUUCAUUUGACGUUAGCUGCAGAAGAAGCACCGGCUAACUCCGUGCCAGCAGCCGCGGUAAUACGGAGGGGUGCGAGCGUUAAUCGGAAUUACUGGGCGUAAAGCGCAUGCAGGUGGUUUGUUAAGUCAGAUGUGAAAGCCCGGGGCUCAACCUCGGAAUUGCAUUUUGAAAACUGGCAAACUAGAGUACUGUAGAGGGGGGUAGGAAUUUCAGGUGUAGCGGUGAAAAUGCGUAGAGAUCUGAAGGAAUACCGGUGGCGAAGGCGGCCCCCUGGACAGAUACUGACACUCAGAUGCGAAAGCGUGGGGAGCAAACAGGAUUAGAUACCCUGGUAG
Molecule: ribosomal RNA, 358 nt
Filed under: uncultured bacterium
Lineage: Bacteria
Description: bacterial SSU rRNA
Rfam family: Bacterial small subunit ribosomal RNA
Source: RNAcentral